Long non-coding RNA from Talpa occidentalis (Iberian mole), 1583 nucleotides. RefSeq lists it as uncharacterized. NCBI's taxonomy places the organism in Eukaryota, Metazoa, Chordata, Mammalia, Eulipotyphla, Talpidae. The transcript has 3 exons. The record is from RefSeq and is a predicted model, not a curated record.
CUCCACGGGACGGAAGAGGCGCCAACUGCGAGGGCGGCGUGGCGGCCUACCUGCGCCCCACGUGGCGAGCUUUAGGUCCCACCGAUGUGCUCGGGCGCGUGGGGCGCAGUGUGGCUCCAGCCUGGAUUUGAGAGGACUUGGGCUUUUGCCGCAAGUUCGGGGCCGCGGCAAAACUUGCGGCUGAGGACUUGCAGCCUCAGCGCGAGGUGACAGAGUGGAAGGAAAUGACAAGAAGUGAAAACAAGGACACUGAUCAUCGCUAGGCCCUAAUGUUCUGAUUCACUGUGACAGGACAAAGGUCUGUAUGGCGUGUCAUUACCUGGGUUUGAUGUCACUGGAGUUCUCUUCCAACGUCUUUGAAUUUUUAAGCCUUUUUGGCAGUUCGACUUGAGCUUAAAGUUGGGUGCUGAAUUCUUCAAUUAUCUUCAGUGAUCACUACUAUAAAUGUAUAGCUUCAGGUAGCUUUAAAUAAUUAAAUGUAGCAUUUCUUUCUUCUGUUGAAGUCUCAGAGAUUAAAAGAAUUCUUGAUCAUUUUUGUGACAAUUAAAGACCCAAGUGGAGAUGUAGGAGUGGGGCUGGUGGUCGUAGUGUAACAAGAUGACAUGUUAUUUCCCUAAAACACACACAAAAGUUCACUUCUGGAAAAUAAAAACAAAACAAACGAUAGGACCAAAUAGUUUUUCUUCAUAUAUCACACACACUUGUUGUUUUACAAUUUAAAAUUGUAUCUUAGAAGUUAAAAUUUUCUAGUGUUUUGUGCCACACAUGUAAGUAUAAUCAAUUAGAAAAUGAACCCUAAAAAUAAGCCACCAACACCAAAUACGAGUGAAGAUGUAGAGCAACAGGAAGUCUCAUUCCUUGCUGGUGGUAAUGCAGUUUAGAAAAUAGUCUGGCAAAGCUGUCCGCAGCGGCCGGCCGGCAAGGGUCCCAUAUGGUGCAGCAGACCUCUCCUGCCUCGCCCGCUGCUCCCCUCAGUCUGCCUGUUCUUUUCCCCACUCUGUCUCUGGUGAAUCCUCUCACCCUCCCGCGCAUCUGGCCUGUACCCCGGUUCUUGUAUAAAAAUAAAUAAAUAAAUCUUUUUAAAAAAGAGAGAGAGAAGAAAAGAAAAUAGUCUGGUACUUUCAUUCAAAAGGAAACAUACUCUUACCCCAAGAUCCAACAAUCAUGCUUACUGGUAUUUACCCAGAGAAGUUGAAAAUAGGUCUUUGAGUUUUAAAUGAGUUCAAGGGUGUUGGAACUUACCAAAUAAGUUGUCAUUUUCAGUGGUACAGAGAAAACUGUACUCUCAUGAUGAUCAUCGUGAACAGUUCUAGAUCCCAAGGAUACGUAGACACAGGGCCUGGCCAGGUAUUAAUAGAGAAAGUACAGUGAGAAACCGGCCUUGAGAAGGGAGCUUACUGUACAGAAGAGGGUAAACACAAAGUAUUUACCUAUCAGAAGUAUGAAACAAGUUUAGGGUCUUCAUCUAUACUGAAGCUGUAGAUCACACUCUAAUUUUCUUACAAAACUGUGACCUGAGAAGGAAAAAAAAAAGUAUCAUUAAUACCUUUGUCAUAAUAAAAAUCAAUUCCCCUAGAUAUGGC